Molecule: ribosomal RNA, 254 nt
Filed under: uncultured prokaryote
Description: partial 16S ribosomal RNA
Rfam family: Bacterial small subunit ribosomal RNA
Source: RNAcentral
UAAUACGAAGGGGGCUAGCGUUGUUCGGAAUUACUGGGCGUAAAGCGCACGUAGGCGGAUAUUUAAGUCAGGGGUGAAAUCCCAGAGCUCAACUCUGGAACUGCCUUUGAUACUGGGUAUCUUGAGUAUGGAAGAGGUUAGUGGAAUUGCGAGUGUAGAGGUGAAAUUCGUAGAUAUUCGCAGGAACACCAGUGGCGAAGGCGGCUAACUGGUCCAUAACUGACGCUGAGGUGCGAAAGCGUGGGGAGCAAACA